This 220-nucleotide ribosomal RNA is filed under the name uncultured bacterium. Its description in RNAcentral is "partial 16S ribosomal RNA". It matches the Rfam family "Bacterial small subunit ribosomal RNA", at positions 495 to 713 of the family's 1533-position model. The record is from RNAcentral.
AGCACUGUAGGUGCCAGCAGCCGCGGUAAUACGGAGGAUCCGAGCGUUAUCCGGAUUUAUUGGGUUUAAAGGGAGCGUAGAUGGAUGUUUAAGUCAGUUGUGAAAGUUUGCGGCUCAACCGUAAAAUUGCAGUUGAUACUGGAUAUCUUGAGUGCAGUUGAGGCAGGCGGAAUUCGNGUGUAGCGGUGAGNUAGCUUAGGAUAUCACGAAGACUCCGAUU